AUUGAACGCUGGCGGCAUGCCUUACACAUGCAAGUCGAACGGCAGCACGGGUGCUUGCACCUGGUGGCGAGUGGCGAACGGGUGAGUAAUACAUCGGAACAUGUCCUGUAGUGGGGGAUAGCCCGGCGAAAGCCGGGUUAAUACCUCAUACGAACUACGGAUGAAAGCGGGGGACCGUCGGGCCUCGCGCUAUCGGGUUGGCCGAUGGCUGAUUAGCUAGUUGGUGGGGUAAAGGCCUACCAAGGCGACGAUCAGUAGCUGGUCUGAGAGGACGACCAGCCACACUGGGACUGAGACACGGCCCAGACUCCUACGGGAGGCAGCAGUGGGGAAUUUUGGACAAUGGGCGAAAGCCUGAUCCAGCAAUGCCGCGUGUGUGAAGAAGGCCUUCGGGUUGUAAAGCACUUUUGUCCGGAAAGAAAUCCUUGGCCCUAAUACGGUCGGGGGAUGACGGUACCGGAAGAAUAAGCACCGGCUAACUACGUG
RNAcentral lists this ribosomal RNA (486 nucleotides) under uncultured bacterium. RNAcentral describes it as "partial 16S ribosomal RNA". It matches the Rfam family "Bacterial small subunit ribosomal RNA", at positions 30 to 507 of the family's 1533-position model. The record is from RNAcentral.